UGGGGAAUUUUGGACAAUGGGCGCAAGCCUGAUCCAGCCAUGCCGCGUGUCUGAAGAAGGCCUUCGGGUUGUAAAGGACUUUUGUCAGGGAAGAAAAGGAUAGGGUUAAUACCCCUGUCUGAUGACGGUACCUGAAGAAUAGGCACCGGCUAACUACGUGCCAGCAGCCGCGGUAAUACGUAGGGUGCGAGCGUUAAUCGGAAUUACUGGGCGUAAAGCGGGCGCAGACGGUUACUUAAGCAAGAUGUGAAAUCCCCGGGCUCAACCUGGGAACUGCGUUCUGAACUGGGUGACUAGAGUGUGUCAGAGGGAGGUAGAAUUCCACGUGUAGCAGUGAAAUGCGUAGAGAUGUGGAGGAAUACCGAUGGCGAAGGCAGCCUCCUGGGAUAACACUGACGUUCAUGCCCGAAAGCGUGGGUAGCAAACAGGAUUAGAUACCCUGGUAGUCCACGCCCUAAACGAUGUCGAUUAGCUGUUGGGCAGCUUGACUGCUUAGUAGCGAAGCUAACGCGUGAAAUCGACCGCCUGGGGAGUACGGUCGCAAGAUUA
This 549-nucleotide ribosomal RNA is filed under the name uncultured bacterium. Its description in RNAcentral is "bacterial SSU rRNA". It matches the Rfam family "Bacterial small subunit ribosomal RNA", at positions 355 to 896 of the family's 1533-position model. The record is from RNAcentral.